Long non-coding RNA from Ipomoea nil (Japanese morning glory), 112 nucleotides. RefSeq lists it as uncharacterized. The record is from RefSeq and is a predicted model, not a curated record. Lineage: Eukaryota; Viridiplantae; Streptophyta; Magnoliopsida; Solanales; Convolvulaceae. The transcript is spliced from 3 exons.
UGCUCUUUUGUAUGCCUAUAUAUUGAUAUGUAAUCUGGAGUUUUUAGAUAAAAAUAAGACAGAUUGUUCAGUUCUUUUUUCCUCUUUCAACAAUAGAAAUGUAAAAAAUAUA